RNAcentral lists this ribosomal RNA (398 nucleotides) under uncultured bacterium. RNAcentral's name for it is "bacterial SSU rRNA". It matches the Rfam family "Bacterial small subunit ribosomal RNA", at positions 29 to 414 of the family's 1533-position model. The record is from RNAcentral.
AAUCAACGCUGGCGGCGUGCCUAACACAUGCAAGUCGAACGCGAAAGUCCCGCAAGGGGCGAGUAGAGUGGCAAACGGGUGAGUAACACGUGGGUGACCUGCCUUCGAGUGGGGGAUAACGUCCCGAAAGGGACGCUAAUACCGCAUGAUAUCCUGCCUUUGAAGAGGUGGAGAUCAAAGCUGGGGAUCGCAAGACCUAGCGCUCAAAGAGGGGCCCGCGCCUGAUUAGCAGUUGGUGGGGUAAUGGCUCACCAAGGCAACGAUCAGUAUCCGGCCUGAGAGGGCGGACGGACACACUGGGACUGAGACACGGCCCAGACUCCUACGGGAGGCAGCAGUGGGGAAUUGUUCGCAAUGGGCGCAAGCCUGACGACGCAACGCCGCGUGGAGGAUGAAGA